This is a long non-coding RNA of Sycon ciliatum, 1042 nucleotides long. RefSeq lists it as uncharacterized. The transcript is spliced from 3 exons. The record is from RefSeq and is a predicted model, not a curated record. NCBI's taxonomy places the organism in Eukaryota, Metazoa, Porifera, Calcarea, Leucosolenida, Sycettidae.
GCUUGCAGUCGUGCUUCCUGCCUUCGACCAGACUAUAUCAUCCUGAGUAUUUACACUGCAAGAGUUUCCUCGGCGAAGCAAGCUAGAAUUUAUUUGCACAAUCUUACUAUUUGCCUCUAAGUAACUAGAACAUAGUGGUCAGAACAGGCCGGUUAUUGGCAAGCGUGGCGGAUAGUCCGUAAGUAGCGUACUUAUGAAGGGAUGCAGCAGUUCGCUAUUUCUACCUUCAAAUGCUACAUCUGUGGAAGAGGAUAAUGUUUCUAGCGCGCUCACGGACGUAUUCAGCCAUGGACUUGGGAGGAAGACUAACUGCACUGUUCGAAGUCUGAUGUCUUCAUGGAUAUCUUCUUAUCCUGAGCUGAGUGAAGGCCAGUCUGCCAAUUCAACUUCAACAUUUAAGGUGUGCUGAUCUUCAGAAGCUUGCGGAACUGAGUGCUGCUGAACAUUUGCAUGGCCAUGAGCAAUGGUGAAGCUUGCUAUUGCACUCUCAGCAUGUGCUAGUAUUAUGCUGACUACUGCACUAUGUUACUCUCUUACAUUACUACAUGUAUGUAAACGUGCGUGCAACCGCCCACGUAUGCAUUCGUUUCGUAUAAUAAUUUGUUAUUCCUCUUGACUUUACGUGUAAAUUGGUGGACGUUUGCAUGGCUGUUGGAGUUGCGUGUGUAUUGUGUCUCUACUCUUUUCUUGGUGUUUUCUUGGCGUUGUAUAAGUUUGUGUGUGUGUGCGCGCGCACAAUAAUUUAAAACAAAUAAUUAAUCCUUGGCUCUCCAUUAUUCUCUUUCAAUUCUUGGUCUUUUUUCUAGGUAUUUUCUUGGCGUUGUGUGGGUGUGUGUAUGUGUGUGUGUGCGUGCACAAUACUUUGGCAACACUACAUGAUUGAGAUAUUGUAAUUUGCAGCGUCUGCGAAGAGACCACUUGAUUUGAGGAUGGUGUUUGUAGGGUUUUUCAUGUAAUAAAGUGGCGCAGUGGCGCCUCAAUACUUAUUUUUUAUCUUGAGAAGUGAAUGAUGUAAAGGAUUAAAGGGAGAGGCUGUUUUCUG